GAUGAACGCUGGCGGCGUGCCUAAUACAUGCAAGUCGAGCGAAUGGAUUAAGAGCUUGCUCUUAUGAAGUUAGCGGCGGACGGGUGAGUAACACGUGGGUAACCUGCCCAUAAGACUGGGAUAACUCCGGGAAACCGGGGCUAAUACCGGAUAACAUUUUGAACCGCAUGGUUCGAAAUUGAAAGGCGGCUUCGGCUGUCACUUAUGGAUGGACCCGCGUCGCAUUAGCUAGUUGGUGAGGUAGCGGGUCACCAAGGCAACGAUGCGUAGCCGACCUGAGAGGGUGAUCGGCCACACUGGGACUGAGACACGGCCCAGACUCCUACGGGAGGCAGCAGUAGGGAAUCUUCCGCAAUGGACGAAAGUCUGACGGAGCAACGCCGCGUGAGUGAUGAAGGCUUUCGGGUCGUAAAACUCUGUUGAUAGGGAAGAACAAGUGCUAGUUGAAUAAGCUGGCACCUUGACGGUACCUAACCAGAAAGCCACGGCUAACUACGUGCCAGCCGCCGCAGUAA
Molecule: ribosomal RNA, 515 nt
Filed under: uncultured bacterium
Lineage: Bacteria
Description: partial 16S ribosomal RNA
Rfam family: Bacterial small subunit ribosomal RNA
Source: RNAcentral